Parelaphostrongylus tenuis is the source of this 72-nucleotide non-coding RNA. The record is from the annotation of a GenBank genome assembly. Lineage: Eukaryota; Metazoa; Nematoda; Chromadorea; Rhabditida; Metastrongylidae.
GCGUCGGUGGUGCAACGGCUAGCAUCUGCUCCCGGAAAGAGUUAGAUCUGGGUUCGAAUCCUGGCCGACGGA